CCUACGGGUGGCAGCAGUAGGGAAUCUUCCUCAAUGGGGGAAACCCUGACGCAGCAACGCCGCGUGAGGGAUGAAGGUUUUCGGAUUGUAAACUCCUUUUGUUAGAGAAGAUAAUGUCGGUAUCUAACUACUACCCCCCUGCUACCUUCGUGCCAGCAGCCGCGGUCAUACGGAGUGGGCAAGCGUUCCUCGGAAUGACUGGGCGUAACGGGCGCGGAGGCGGUACAGCAAGUCAGAUGUGAAAUCCGAUGGUUGAACCAUAGAACUGCAUUUGAAACUGUUGAUCUAGAGUAUGGGAGAGGUAGGUGGAAUUCUUGGUGUAGGGGUAAAAUCCGUAGAGAUCAAGAGGAAGACUCAUGGCGAAGGCGACCUGCUAGAACAUAACUGACGCUGAUGCGCGAAAGCGUGGGUAGCAAACAGGAUUAGAUACCCUAGUAGUC
This 440-nucleotide ribosomal RNA is filed under the name uncultured bacterium. RNAcentral's name for it is "partial 16S ribosomal RNA". It matches the Rfam family "Bacterial small subunit ribosomal RNA", at positions 338 to 795 of the family's 1533-position model. The record is from RNAcentral.